GAUUUCAAUUUGGAAAAUGGCAUGGAAAUAAUCCAGCUUGAACAUCGUCCUCCUCACCUCCUGGACUAGGGCGAGGGCCCCUUAUAUUUCUUCAUGGCAAUUGUGUCACAGUUCAAACGCUCGUACCCUGACUCCAUCUGGGAUUUGGAAUGCACUCAGGGAAGUGUCUGCGCAUGGAGACUAGAAAUGGAAGAGGCUUCCAAGGUCAUGCCUUUCAGGCUCCCUUCAAAUUCUACAGCUACUGUGAAGAGAGUUGCAUUCCCACAGAGAACAUGUCAGACUGGAGGAAAAUUGUGACAAAAGGUCUCCCCAAAGGCCUCUGAAACUUGGAUCUUAUCUCAUUCCACAAGGCAAAGGCCAGUUUCCUAAAUCAAAGAAUGAAACAAAGUACAUCUUUUUCAAGCAUUGUUUUGACAUCACUCCCUUUUAUACAAACUGGACAGGCACUCCCAUUGUCUCUUUAAAUAAUUUUUAAACACUCCUGAACUUUGGCUUGGAGACCCUCAUUUGAAAUGAUUUUACCACUCUAGACAUACUAGCUCAUAUUUUUUAACUUCAACCUGGCAAAAAGUUAAUAUCCCUCAUAAAACUCU
Molecule: long non-coding RNA, 593 nt
Filed under: Pongo abelii (Sumatran orangutan)
Lineage: Eukaryota; Metazoa; Chordata; Mammalia; Primates; Hominidae
Description: lincRNA
Source: RNAcentral